This is a long non-coding RNA of Diorhabda carinulata, 1322 nucleotides long. RefSeq lists it as uncharacterized. The transcript has 3 exons. NCBI's taxonomy places the organism in Eukaryota, Metazoa, Arthropoda, Insecta, Coleoptera, Chrysomelidae. The record is from RefSeq and is a predicted model, not a curated record.
AGUUUUGUUUAUAAAAAAAGGAGUGCAUAAGUUUUCGACAAAACUCUCUUAACUCUCUCUGCACUAGCGCCUGUAGUAGUAAAUUCAAACGCGGUAAACCUCAAUAAAAGAAAGUAGUUCUUCGGUAAAGCUAUUACUAGAACUAUUUCUAAAUAAGCCACUACAAUUGUCACUGAAGAAAACAAACCUCUGUCCUCCAUUCUUCUUACAAGUUGAUAUUCUCCCCAUUUGAGAACAGCUUGUAGCACUUCCAAUUCACUAGCUUGUAAAAAUGGACUCUUCAAUACUUCCAUCAAGUGAAUUUUGUCUAAUUGAUGUAGAACUGUCGACUGGGAUAUUGUUUGAAAUUCUUCUCUUAAAAAAUGUAACGCCUGAAAUAUAGAAUGGUAUCAAGAAUCAGUUUUAGCCAUCAAUAGCACAUAUUUCUUUAUUUAUUAUAAUCAAUAAAAUACUGAUAGAAAAUGAAGAUAGAAAUUAUAUUACCUGGCGAUGAACCCAUGCUGAACCAUGAGGUAGUCUGGACCACUGCAACACAGAAGAAACCUCACUCUACAUCAGUGCCUCUAGCGGCAAAUUCAAAUACAGUUUGGGAAAAUACCAAGUUACUAUAAUUUAAAUGGACAUAAUUACAGAAUUAGGUAAAUUGGUAACAAGUAAGAAUUAGAUUGAAAUUAGCAUUAAUAUUAGUAACAUUCUAAUACAAUAGGGGUAUACUUUAUGGAAGUACAGAGUUUUUUAUAGAAAAGAAAUUAUUUUAAGUAGUUUCUUUAUAGAAUAAAUUUGGGAUAUGUAGAAGAAAUUACAUUUUUUGCUAGUUGUCAUUCCAAAAAAAUCAAAUAUUGCAAAUGUCUGACUAGUUUUUUGCCAGAUGGCAUAACAAUAUAUAUACUAUAAAAUAAUUAAAAUGUCUGACAGUGACAGAGCCCAUCAUUAUUAAAAAAAUAUUACAUAAACCAAAAUCACUUCUUAUAAAGUUAAACCUUUCAUAUGUUUAUGGACAAAAAAUUAGCAACUCAAAAUAUUUAUACUGUUUGUGUGACAUUUUCAAGAUAUUGAGUGUACAUACCUUUUAGGGAUCACAGUUUCAUCCAAAACUAUUCUUGUAGGGAUGUGAAGAGCUCGUUCAGUAUGUUCUUCACCGCUUUUAGACCGCCUUUGCAAUAGAUUCCUAAAGAACGGAGAUCUUGCUGAAAGUAUAGCUUUAUGACAAGCUAAUUCACAUUUAGGUCUAAAUCCAUACUCGGAGCUUCCAGAAUCAGGUCGCUGACAAUCGGACCCAUCAGAAGUAAACACUAAAGUGGCGUCUGCAUAGUCACCUGAUU